RNAcentral lists this ribosomal RNA (347 nucleotides) under uncultured bacterium. Its description in RNAcentral is "bacterial SSU rRNA". It matches the Rfam family "Bacterial small subunit ribosomal RNA", at positions 1 to 361 of the family's 1533-position model. The record is from RNAcentral.
UAGUGAGUUUGAUCCUGGCUCAGGAUGAACGCUGGCGGUCUGCUUAACACAUGCAAGUCGAACGCAAGUAGAAAUACUUGAGUGGCGGACGGGUGAGUAACGCGUGAGAAUCUGCCUUCUGGUCGGGGACAACCACUGGAAACGGCGUCUAAUACCGGAUACGAGACGCGGCCGCAUGGUCAGUGUCUGGAAAGUUUUUUCGGUCUGGGAUGGACUCGCGGCCUAUCAGCUUGUUGGUGAGGUAAUGGCUCACCAAGGCGAUGACGGGGUAGCCGGCCUGAGAGGGCGACCGGCCACACUGGGACUGAGACACGGGCCCAGACUCCUACGGGAGCAGCAGUGGGGAA